Molecule: long non-coding RNA, 272 nt
Organism: Propithecus coquereli (Coquerel's sifaka)
Lineage: Eukaryota; Metazoa; Chordata; Mammalia; Primates; Indriidae
Exons: 3
Source: RefSeq, a predicted model, not a curated record
GAAAAAGAUGGAAAUAAGAAACAAAAACGAAAACUGAAAAGAGAAGACUUAACUAUUAUUCUCAAAGAACUGCAAAUCCAGGAAAGAAAUCUGUAACACAGACCAUUUGUGGACAACAAGGUGGGUCCUGGAGGAGGAGUCACGACUGAAAGAUGGAUCCUGACUUGGCCCUUUGCAGCCCCUGCUUCCACCUGCCACUGCACUUGCUGUGUUCCAGUUACUCCAGUCGCCCUGGGCUCCCCCAGUUCUGCCAAGCCUGAGACAGCAAGAUC